CAGGGAGGCCUGGCGUUCUGCGUUUCAUGUGGUCGCAAAGAGUUGGACAUGACUGAGCAACUGAACUGAACUGAACGUUAUUUUCCUGUGGCUACUGAAACAAAUUACCACAAACAUGAUGACCUAAAACAAUGGUAAUUUAUUCCCUCACAGUUCUGGAGGUCAGGCAUUUGAAAUCAAUUUCACUUCAUUGUGUUAUGGUACCAGCAAGGCAGUGCUUUCUCUGGUGGCGCUAGGGGAGCAUCUGUACUUUGCCUCUUGUCGUUUCUGGCAACAGCCUAGCUUUUCUUGCUUGUGGCUACAUCACUCCUAUCUCUGCCUCCUUGGUCACAUUUCUUUCUCCUCAUCUGUGUGUCAAAUUCCCCUCUGCUUUCCUCUCAUAUGCAUACAUGUGGUUGCACUGAGUGCCAACCACAUAAUUGAGACAAUCUCCCUAUAUCAUGAUGCUUAACUUAAUCACAUCUGCAGGGUCUUCUGCCAUAUAACAUUCACAGGUUCCAAGGCUUAGGAUGUGGAUCCCUUUGGAAGUCAUUUUUCAGCCUACUACAGCUUCAGAUCUAGGCAUUUUCGUAAGAGCAGUUUCAUCUGCCAGGAAGACUUUCCUUUAUGUGGUUCUUCCAAAAUUUGAAGUUAUUUCUAUGUUAAUAGCAGGUCUUUGAGUAACUUUUAAAUUUUUGUAUGAAUUUGUUUACCCAUUCAUUCUUUCAGUAAGCACUUAUUACUAUAGAAGGAUUAAGAAAAGGAAAUCAACUAAUACUUGCUUCAAGAAGAAUUUACCAUUUGCUUUUGAAGAAGGCCCUGCUGAGACUUACUUGAAAGGAAACUAACUCUUGUAUUGAUGGACUUGAUGAACAGUAUAGAUCCUGCAUGACCCACUGAAAAACGAGGUCUCUCCAAAUGAGUGGCUCUAGGGAGAAAGAGAAACAUUAUAUAUGCAUUUGCUAAAAUGUGAAAGAAGAUGUAGGCCAGGACAAAGACAGAAAUCCUGGUUUUAAAAGGACUUACAGGUGCCUACAAUAUCCCAAGCACUGUGCCCAGUGCUAGGAAUGAUGAGAGAAAGAGUAUGCUGGAUACUUCCAAGAACUACUGAAAAGUAAGUUUCUUUGUGAUAUCUCCAAAAUUUAACAAAAACCAAACUACCAAAACAUCCAUGCAAGGAGAAAUGGUGAAAGGUAUUACUGUCCUGAAAUAUAAAGUCCCUUGAUUUAGAAAAGUAAAUGAGCAAAAAAAAAAAAAAAAAAAAAA
Molecule: long non-coding RNA, 1245 nt
Organism: Bubalus bubalis (water buffalo)
Lineage: Eukaryota; Metazoa; Chordata; Mammalia; Artiodactyla; Bovidae
Exons: 5
Source: RefSeq, a predicted model, not a curated record